UUGAACAGUUACCCCAGUCCCACUUGGAAGCUCUUCUUUAGUUCCAGGUGAACGUUAUAACAGACACGCAGCUGGAAUCAGUCUGUACCAUUAUUUCAAGUCAAGGGAUUGUCUUCUUUCAGAGAGUCAGAGAACAUUCAGCAGAGCGCAUUGCAAGAGAGAGGCUUAACCCUCAAGACUGCUUGUCCUGGGACGGCCCAUUGGCAGGGCUCUGUCUUACUGGGAGGAGGUUAUAAUGACCAGGAAUAUGGCUGUUCCUAGGUAGGUCGUAUGGAUUCUGGAUAUAGCUGGAGUUACAACCACGGCUUUCUUGGACCACACUGACUGUGGGCUCUAAGGAAUAUAGUGAAAAAUGAGUUCAGAGAACAGAUUAGCUUUGGUUGCCUUGUUGGGGGGAAGAGAAUUCUAUUUAACUUGGUCGGGGGAGAAGCCAGGGGUUUAUGAUAAAUGUAUGAAGGUUAGGACUGAGGCUUGUUCAAGAGAUUGAAAAGCUAAGUGAGUGUGCUAUCAGAAUCCCAAGCUCUGGUCAAAACCGAGGGACUUAGAGUAGGGGUCAGGGGUUGUAUCAGUGAACCCAGGGACAUGGGUUAAACUGGGAAAAAGUAGAAUAAGGUGAUUUCGAAACUUGCAAAUGUCUGUUCUGAUUGUUUUCUUUUUUAAACAGGAAUUUGUGUCAACGAUCAGUUGAAGUGUAUGUUUUUGUGUGUAUUGACUCCCCACCCCCAAUAUGUCUGUUUCACACGUAGCCUUAGUGUUUUUUAAAAGCAGAGUUGGCACAAGAAUUUGAUUUCUUGUAUGAGAGAGGAGGGCAGUCCUGGGAAAGACAGUUCACCUUGGAUUCCUUAAAAAGCAACAAAAGAAGGGUGUAUUUUCAAGACGGGGACUGGAGAGGGCUGUUUUCACUUCAGAUGCUGUACUAAUGCCCUGAUUUCACUAAGUUACUUAUUUGAGACACCUACCAACUUCAUAUAUAUUUUUAUUAGAUGUCGACAAGGAUGGCACAUCUGUGUAUGGAGACCCCGUGUGCACAGGCGACUUCAUUUCUACAUAGCUGCUUUCUGGAAGCGUGCAGGGGAGCCUGAGCAACCAGCCCCAGAAGACAACUCUGCAGGCACGACCACCCACCUUCAGCGGUGUGUAGGAGACGCGGGGAGCCAGGUCUCGGCCCUUCUCUUUCUGCCGCCGCCGGUGCCAGGCGAACAGGCCCAGCAGCACCACAAUGAGGAACAACAGGAGGACGAUGCCUGUGACAGCACCCACCGAGUGCCGCUCUGCACCCAGUGCUGGGCUGAUCUUGGUGUAGGGAUUUAGCUCCUCCAUCAUGAGGGCAGCUGCGGACAGAGGGAGGGGCUGAGCCUGGGGCAGGCCUGCUUGCUCUUCAGAUCUCCUCAGCCUGGGGCCUGGACUCCUAAGGUUAGGAGACCCGGGUGCUGGUCUUGGCCCUAUUCUUCAAUCCCUUCAACCUCACGUGUCUGUCUUCAACUGUCUACAAAGGGUAGCGUCCCAGGGUCGUGACAGGGAGCAAAUGUGAUCAUAGGUGGGAGCCAAAAUAAUGGAUGUUUACUGAGUGUUUUACUCUGUUCUGAAAAUGAGUUACAGAUAUUAACUCAUUUGAUCUUCCCAGCAGCCCUAUAAAAAGCUGUUUAUAAGUCCUUUAAGAAAUAAAGACUAAUUAUUUCCCUUUCACAGAUGAAGAAACCGAGUCACCAAAAGGUUAGGUAAUUUGCCCAAGAUCACACAACCAGUAACUGGUAGAGUGGGUUUCUCAGGAGUCGGGAAAAACUGGACUCAGCCCCCUCCCUGUCUACCAACUGUGUGACUCAGAAUCCUCAGUUUGCUCAUUUGUAACAUGGGGACAGCAAUCCCACUGUGAGCACUAAUGAGAGACUGACAAUGAAAGCUGUGAGUGCUGUACCAGUGUGCCCAGGAUUGCUGCUCCUAAAACCCCUCUUGAUGAUAUAUGUGUGGGCUGUCCCUCAUCCCCCGUCAGAAUGCAGUGGAAAUGUCUUUUGGCCCCUUUUCUGUACUGUGAACGCUUGGGUGCCCAUUCUCAUCCCUAUCUCCUACAGCCAACAGCAAAAACCCUUUAUCGAGUGCUCACUUGAUGUGCCAGGCACUGUGCUGAGUCCUUUACUCACAUUAUCUUAACUUGGUCUUCACAACAGCACUAUGGGGUCUUGUCUGACUAUAGACCUGGAGCCAAGGUUGAGCCCCUUUGGGCUCCUUGGCUCUCAGCAGAACCUUGUGUCUUUCCACAUGUGGAGUAACAGACCCAGCAAAAGGAAAUGGCCGGCCCAAGGACACCUAGCAGAAGUAGUUUUAACUGGGCGUAUGUCCACCUGCACAGCGAGGUAUGACCACGUGACUACAUUCUGACCAAUGGGAAUGAAAUGGAGAACUGAAGCCCAGAAGAUAUAAAGAAAAGGUGCAUAUGUAGGAAGCAAGAAGAAGAAAAGGUGAAGGAACAGUCAAGAGAAGCAGGAGAAUACCAAGAGCUCAGUUUCACAGGACCAGGAUGGUGGCAUGGCAGAGGGGGUUACCUGUCCAUCCGGCCAGGCAGCAGCAGUGGCCUGUGACGGGAUCGCAGCCAUCGGCGUGGCUGCAGUCACAACGCUCACUGCAGUUCAGCCCGAAUGUGCCAUCCUGUGGAGAGAAGGGGGAGAGAGAAAUGACGAGACCUAGACCCUCAGAGGUUCUCACACUUCUUUCGGAUGUUGAUGACAAAACUGAGCCACUGCCCAACAAGGAUGAAGAGAAACUGGGGCUGGAGCGCUGUGGAGGCACUUUUUAUAACCGGGGAUCCAGUGAAGCUACUCCAAAUAAUUCUUUGGCUGCAUUACGAAGAGUAUGCAGUUUGGAGGGAGGGAGGUGUGGUCCUGCCCUACCUCUCAAUGGUCAAGCUCAGAGAGCUGUAAUGAUCAUUAAUUAAAAUUGUAAAUGAAAA
Lagenorhynchus albirostris (white-beaked dolphin) is the source of this 2944-nucleotide long non-coding RNA. RefSeq lists it as uncharacterized. The record is from RefSeq and is a predicted model, not a curated record. NCBI's taxonomy places the organism in Eukaryota, Metazoa, Chordata, Mammalia, Artiodactyla, Delphinidae. The transcript has 5 exons.